UCAGUCGACUCCUACGGGGAGGCAGCAGUGGGGAAUAUUGCACAAUGGGGGAAACCCUGAUGCAGCCAUGCCGCGUGUGUGAAGAAGGCCUUCGGGUUGUAAAGCACUUUCAGUAGGGAGGAAGGUAGUGUAGUUAACACCUGCAUUAUUUGACGUUACCUACAGAAGAAGCACCGGCUAACUCCGUGCCAGCAGCCGCGGUAAUACGGAGGGUGCGAGCGUUAAUCGGAAUUACUGGGCGUAAAGCGCAUGCAGGCGGCCUGUUAAGUCAGAUGUGAAAGCCCGGGGCUUAACCUCGGAAUUGCAUUUGAAACUGGCAGGCUAGAGUCUUGUAGAGGGGGGUAGGAAUUUCAGGUGUAGCGGUGAAAUGCGUAGAGAUCUGAAGGAAUACCAGUGGCGAAGGCGGCCCCCUGGACAAAGACUGACGCUCAGAUGCGAAAGCGUGGGGAGCAAACAGGAUUAGAUACCCCUGGUAG
This 476-nucleotide ribosomal RNA is filed under the name uncultured bacterium. RNAcentral describes it as "bacterial SSU rRNA". It matches the Rfam family "Bacterial small subunit ribosomal RNA", at positions 328 to 793 of the family's 1533-position model. The record is from RNAcentral.